GGUCUGGCUGGCGGGUCCGCCUCACCGCGUGCACUUGUCCGGCCGGGCCUUUCCUUCUGGAGAACCUCAUGCCCUUCACUGGGCGUGCUGGGGAACCAGGACUGUUACUUUGAAAAAAUUAGAGUGUUUAAAGCAGGCUCGCGCUUGAAUACAUUAGCAUGGAAUAAUGAAAUAGGACGU
This 180-nucleotide ribosomal RNA is filed under the name uncultured Glomeromycotina. Its description in RNAcentral is "partial small subunit ribosomal RNA". Lineage: Eukaryota; Fungi; Glomeromycota. The record is from RNAcentral.